GAAAUGCAUACAAAUGACUUCUUCUAGAGAACCACUAAAUGGAAUGAAACCAAACAUUGCAUGAAUGUUCCUUAUGGAGUGCUGACCAAUUGUUGUUACUUUUGUAGCCAAUCCAUUAUCCAAGAUGGCCGCCAGCGGGGACUUAGUUUAACAUAGGACCCUAUUGGAAAUGCAUACAAAUGACUUCUUCUAGUGAACCACUGAAUGGAAUGAAACCAAACAUGGCAUGAAUGUUCCUUAUGUGGUGCUGACCAAGUGUUGUUACUUUGUAGCCGAUCCAUCAUCAAAGAUGGCCCCCAGCAUGGGACUUAGUUUAACAUAGGACCCUAUGGGAAAUGCAUACAAAUGACUUCUUUUAGAGAACCACUGAAUGGAAUAAAACCAAACAUAGCAUGAAUGUUCCUUAUGGGGUGCUGACCAAGUGUUGUUACUUUGUAGCCGAUCCAUCAUCAUAGAUGGCCGUCAGCGGGGGACUUAGUUUAACAUAGGACCCUAUAGGAAAUGCAUACAAAUGACUUCUUUUAGAGAACCACUGAAUGGAAUAAAACCAAACAUAGCAUGAAUGUUCCUUAUGGGGUGCUGACCAAGUGUUGUUACUUUGUAGCCGAUCCAUCAUCCAAGAUGGCCGCCAGCGGGGGACUUAGUUUAACAUAGGACCCUAUGGGAAAUGCAUACAAAUGACUUCUUCUAGAGAACCACUAAAUGGAAUUAAACCAAACAUAGCAUGAAUGUUCCUUAUGGAGUGCUGACCAAGUGUUGUUACUUUGUAGCUGAUCCAUUAUCCAAGAUGGCCGCCAGCGG
Molecule: long non-coding RNA, 801 nt
Filed under: Mytilus galloprovincialis (Mediterranean mussel)
Lineage: Eukaryota; Metazoa; Mollusca; Bivalvia; Mytilida; Mytilidae
Source: RNAcentral